Molecule: ribosomal RNA, 471 nt
Filed under: uncultured crenarchaeote
Lineage: Archaea; Thermoproteati; Thermoproteota
Description: bacterial SSU rRNA
Rfam family: Archaeal small subunit ribosomal RNA
Source: RNAcentral
UUCCGGUUGAUCCUGCCGGACCCGACUGCUAUCAGAGUGGGACUAAGCCAUGCGAGUCAACGCAGCAAUGCGUGGCAUACGGCUCAGUAACACGUAGUCAACAUGCCCAGGGGACGUGGAUAACCUCGGGAAACUGAGGAUAAACCGCGAUAGGCCAAGAUUUCUGGAAUGGAUCAUGGCUGAAACCUACAUGGCCCCUGGAUUGGACUGCGGCCGAUCAGGCUGUUGGUGAGGUAGUGGCCCACCAAACCUGUAACCGGUACGGGCUCUGAGAGGAGGAGCCCGGAGAUGGGCACUGAGACAAGGGCCCAGGCCCUAUGGGGCGCAGCAGGCGCGAAACCUCUGCAAUAGGCGAAAGCUUGACAGGGUUACUCUGAGUGAUGCCCGUUAAGGGCAUCUUUUGGCACUUCUAAAAAUAGUGUAGAAUAAGGGGUGGGCAAGUCUGGUGUCAGCCGCCGCGGUAAUACCAGC